Small nuclear RNA from Rattus norvegicus (Norway rat), 107 nucleotides. Lineage: Eukaryota; Metazoa; Chordata; Mammalia; Rodentia; Muridae. The record is from Ensembl.
AUGCUUGCGUCAGCAGCACACAUACUAAAAUAGGAAUGAUACAGAGGGGAUGAGCACAGCUCUUUCACAAGAAUAAGACACAAAUUCAUGAAGCAAUCCAUGUUUAA